GAUGAACGCUGGCGGCGUGCCUAAUACAUGCAAGUCGAGCGAACAGACGAGGAUCUUGCUCCUCGCACGUUAGCGGCGGACGGGUGAAUAACACGUGGAUCACCUACCUAUAAUACUGGGAUAACUUCGAGAAACCGGAUCUUAUCCCGUAUAAGCUCUUGAACCGUAUGGUUCAAUAGUGAAAGACGGUGUUGCUGUCACUAAUAGAUGGUUCUGCGCCGCUUUAUCUAGUUGGUAAGGUAACGGCUUACGAAGGCAACGAUGCGUAGCCGAAUUGCGAGGGUGAGUGGCCACACUGGAAGUGUGACACGCUACAGAGGGCUACGGGAGGCAGCCGUAGGGAAUCGGGAGCAAGGGGCGAGAGCCUGAGGGAGAAACGCCGCGGGAGUAAUGAGGGACGUCGGAUCGUAAAACUCUGUUAUUAGGGAGGAACAACUGUGUCCGUAGAUGUGCCGGUAGUGACGGUACCGAGUAAGAAAGCAACGGCUAACUACGUG
Molecule: ribosomal RNA, 497 nt
Filed under: uncultured bacterium
Lineage: Bacteria
Description: partial 16S ribosomal RNA
Rfam family: Bacterial small subunit ribosomal RNA
Source: RNAcentral